GGGUGAAACAUCAGUUCCCAUAUGAUCACUGAAGUUAAGCAACAUUGAGCUUGGUCAGUACCUAGAUGGGUGACUGCUUGGGAAUAUCGGGUACAGUA
Non-coding RNA from Acanthosepion pharaonis, 98 nucleotides. The record is from the annotation of a GenBank genome assembly. Lineage: Eukaryota; Metazoa; Mollusca; Cephalopoda; Sepiida; Sepiidae.